This 472-nucleotide ribosomal RNA is filed under the name uncultured Sphingobacteriales bacterium. RNAcentral's name for it is "bacterial SSU rRNA". It matches the Rfam family "Bacterial small subunit ribosomal RNA", at positions 907 to 1382 of the family's 1533-position model. Lineage: Bacteria; Pseudomonadati; Bacteroidota; Sphingobacteriia; Sphingobacteriales. The record is from RNAcentral.
UGAAUUGACGGGGCCGCACAAGCGGAGGACAUGUGGUUUAAUUCGAUGAUACGCGAGGAACCUUACCUGGGCUUAAAUGUAGAGUGCAUUUUUUAGAGAUAGAAAUUCCCUUCGGGGCUUUCUGCAAGGUGCUGCAUGGUUGUCGUCAGCUCGUGCCGUGAGGUGUCGGGUUAAGUCCCAUAACGAGCGCAACCCUUAUCGUUAGUUGCCAGCUGGUAAAGCAGGGGACUCUAGCGAAACUGCACCGUAAGGUGAGAGGAAGGUGGGGAUGACGUCAAAUCAGCACGGCCCUUAUGUCCAGGGCUACACACGUGUUACAAUGGCCGGCACAGAGGGCAGCUACCUGGUGACAGGAUGCUAAUCUCGAAAACCGGUCUCAGUUCGGAUCGAAGUCUGCAACUCGACUUCGUGAAGCUGGAUUCGCUAGUAAUCGUGGAUCAGCCAAGCCGCGGUGAAUACGUUCCCGGGCCUU